AUUGAACGCUGGCGGCAGGCCUAACACAUGCAAGUCGAGCGGAUGAAGGGAGCUUGCUCCUGGAUUCAGCGGCGGACGGGUGAGUAAUGCCUAGGAAUCUGCCUGGUAGUGGGGGAUAACGUCCGGAAACGGGCGCUAAUACCGCAUACGUCCUGAGGGAGAAAGUGGGGGAUCUUCGGACCCCACGCUAUCAGAUGAGCCUAGGUCGGAUUAGCUAGUUGGUGGGGUAAAGGCCUACCAAGGCGACGAUCCGUAACUGGUCUGAGAGGAUGAUCAGUCACACUGGAACUGAGACACGGUCCAGACUCCUACGGGAGGCAGCAGUGGGGAAUAUUGGACAAUGGGCGAAAGCCUGAUCCAGCCAUGCCACGUGUGUGAAGAAGGUCUUCGGAUUGUAAAGCACUUUAAGUUGGGAGGAAGGGCAGUAAGUUAAUACCUUGCUGUUUUGACGUUACCAACAGAAUAAGCACCGGCUAACUUCGUG
This 484-nucleotide ribosomal RNA is filed under the name uncultured bacterium. Its description in RNAcentral is "partial 16S ribosomal RNA". It matches the Rfam family "Bacterial small subunit ribosomal RNA", at positions 30 to 507 of the family's 1533-position model. The record is from RNAcentral.